CGUAACUAUAACGGUCCUAAGGUAGCGAAAUUCCUUGUCGGGUAAGUUCCGACCUGCACGAAUGGCGUAAUGAUGGCCAGGCUGUCUCCACCCGAGACUCAGUGAAAUUGAACUCGCUGUGAAGAUGCAGUGUACCCGCGGCAAGACGGAAAGACCCCGUGAACCUUUACUAUAGCUUGACACUGAACAUUGAGCCUUGAUGUGUAGGAUAGGUGGGAGGCUUUGAAGUGUGGACGCCAGUCUGCAUGGAGCCGACCUUGAAAUACCACCCUUUAAUGUUUGAUGUUCUAACGUGGACCCGUAAUCCGGGUUGCGGACAGUGUCUGGUGGGUAGUUUGACUGGGGCGGUCUCCUCCUAAAGAGUAACGGAGGAGCACGAAGGUUGGCUAAUCCUGGUCGGACAUCAGGAGGUUAGUGCAAUGGCAUAAGCCAGCUUGACUGCGAGCGUGACGGCGCGAGCAGGUGCGAAAGCAGGUCAUAGUGAUCCGGUGGUUCUGAAUGGAAGGGCCAUCGCUCAACGGAUAAAAGGUACUCCGGGGAUAACAGGCUGAUACCGCCCAAGAGUUCAUAUCGACGGCGGUGUUUGGCACCUCGAUGUCGGCUCAUCACAUCCUGGGGCUGAAGUAGGUCCCAAGGGUAUGGCUGUUCGCCAUUUAAAGUGGUACGCGAGCUGGGUUUAGAACGUCGUGAGACAGUUCGGUCCCUAUCUGCCGUGGGCGCUGGAGAACUGAGGGGGGCUGCUCCUAGUACGAGAGGACCGGAGUGGACGCAUCACUGGUGUUCGGGUUGUCAUGCCAAUGGCACUGCCCGGUAGCUAAAUGCGGAAGAGAUAAGUGCUGAAAGCAUCUAAGCACGAAACUUGCCCCGAGAUGAGUUCUCCCUGACCCUUUAAGGGUCCUGAAGGAACGUUGAAGACGACGACGUUGAUAGGCCGGGUGUGUAAGCGCAGCGAUGCGUUGAGCUAACCGGUACUAAUGAACCGUGAGGCUUAACCUU
This 996-nucleotide ribosomal RNA is filed under the name Escherichia coli 2-177-06_S3_C3. RNAcentral's name for it is "bacterial LSU rRNA". It matches the Rfam family "Bacterial large subunit ribosomal RNA", at positions 1935 to 2925 of the family's 2925-position model. Lineage: Bacteria; Pseudomonadati; Pseudomonadota; Gammaproteobacteria; Enterobacterales; Enterobacteriaceae. The record is from RNAcentral.